RNAcentral lists this unclassified non-coding RNA (246 nucleotides) under Hevea brasiliensis (rubber tree). Lineage: Eukaryota; Viridiplantae; Streptophyta; Magnoliopsida; Malpighiales; Euphorbiaceae. The record is from RNAcentral.
CAAGAAUACAAAGAUAAAUUGGCGAUAUAUAUAUAUAGAACACAUUCAUGGACCUUUAUUUAUUACAUAUUUAUAUCUGCAUCACUAGUGCAGCUAUCUAGCCAAGUACUACUUCCAGAUAAAUGGAGGAGGCUAAUUAAGCAACACAAUCUCAUGGGGUAGCACAAUCCCAUGAGAUUAGGUCCCUUCCCCCACACAUUACAUAACUUAAGGGAUUAGCCUACAAAAAUACAAAGGUAAAUUGGC